RNAcentral lists this ribosomal RNA (831 nucleotides) under uncultured organism. Its description in RNAcentral is "bacterial SSU rRNA". It matches the Rfam family "Bacterial small subunit ribosomal RNA", at positions 24 to 899 of the family's 1533-position model. The record is from RNAcentral.
UCAGGAUGAACGCUGGCGGUCUGCUUAACACAUGCAAGUCGAACGGGCUCUUCGGAGCUAGUGGCGGACGGGUGAGUAACGCGUGAGAAUCUGCCUUCAGGAGGGGGAUAACGACUGGAAACGGUCGCUAAUACCCCAUAUGCCUCCGGGUGAAAAGUAAUUCGCCUGAAGAUGAGCUCGCGUCAGAUUAGCUAGUUGGUGGGGUAAGAGCCUACCAAGGCGACGAUCUGUAGCUGGUCUGAGAGGAUGAUCAGCCACACUGGGACUGAGACACGGCCCAGACUCCUACGGGAGGCAGCAGUGGGGAAUUUUCCGCAAUGGGCGCAAGCCUGACGGAGCAAGACCGCGUGGGGGAUGACGGCCUAAUGGUUGUAAACCCCUUUUCUCUGGGAAGAAGACUGACGGUACCAGAGGAAUCAGCCUCGGCUAACUCCGUGCCAGCAGCCGCGGUAAUACGGAGGAGGCAAGCGUUAUCCGGAAUUAUUGGGCGUAAAGCGUCCGUAGGUGGUUAUUCAAGUCUGCUGUCAAAGCGUGGGGCUUAACUCCAUAGAGGCAGUGGAAACUGAGUGACUAGAGUGCGGUAGGGGUCGAGGGAAUUCCCAGUGUAGCGGUGAAAUGCGUAGAUAUUGGGAAGAACACCAGUGGCGAAAGCGCUCGACUGGGCCUGCACUGACACUGAGGGACGAAAGCUAGGGGAGCGAAAGGGAUUAGACACCCCUGUAGUCCUAGCCGUAAACGAUGGAUACUAGGUGUUGCUCGUCAUCGACCCGAGCAGUGCCGUAGCCAACGCGUUAAGUAUCCCGCCUGGGGAGUACGCUCGCAAGAGUGAAA